This 279-nucleotide ribosomal RNA is filed under the name uncultured bacterium. RNAcentral describes it as "partial 16S ribosomal RNA". It matches the Rfam family "Bacterial small subunit ribosomal RNA", at positions 506 to 784 of the family's 1533-position model. The record is from RNAcentral.
UGCCAGCAGCCGCGGUAAUACGAACCGCUCGAGCGUUAUUCGGAAUCAUUGGGCUUAAAGAGCACGUAGGCGGCUUGGUAGGUGAGAUGUGAAAGCCCACGGCUCAACCGUGGAAUUGCGUUUCAAACCCCCAAGCUCGAGGAAGAUAGGGGUGAUGGGAACUUAUGGUGGAGCGGUGAAAUGCGUUGAUAUCAUAGGGAACACCGGUGGCGAAAGCGCAUCACUGGAUCUUUUCUGACGCUGAGGCACGAAAGCUAGGGUAGCGAACGGGAUUAGAUA